GACUGAUUCAUCAAUUAAUCCGUAACGUAGUGGGUUACGGAGGUUAUUACGAAUAACGGAAAAUUAGGGUUUGAUUCCGGAGAGGAAGCGAGAGUAUUGGCUUCCACUUCUAAGGAAGGCAGCAGGCGCGGAAAAUUCUCAAUGUCAAUUCGACGAAGAUGUGACGAGAAAUACCAGUACAGGGCUUUUAAGAACUGUGAUUGGAAUGAGAACAAUAUAAAACCAUUAACGAGGAACAAUUGGAGGGCAAGUCUGGUGCCAGCAGCCGCGGUAAUUCCAGCUCCAAGAGCGUAUCUUAAAGUUGUUGUGGUUAAAAAGCUCGUAGUUUAUAUUUGAUAAAUUUAUCAAGAGUUUGAAUCUGAAAGAGGAAAAUGAUUGAAAGUGUUUAUGAAUGUUUAGCUAACAUUAAGCAGCUUAUAAUGUAUGCCUGUUUACUCCUUGUAUGUAUUAUAGGUUGUGUUAGUUAACAGUUACUGUGAAAAAUUAGAGUGUUCAAAACAGGCAUUUAUGGCUAUUGAAUAUAUUAGCAUGGUGUAACGAAAUAUGACAACUCUAUUACGUUUGAGUGGUACUAUAUCAGUUGAGUAAUUAGAGAUGUAAUGAUUAAAAGGAGCAGUCGUAGUGACUUUUACUUAAUGGAAAGAGGUGAAAUUCUAUAACCCAUUAAAGAAAAACAACUGCGAAAGCAUUUCACUAAAAUGCUUUCAUUAAUCAAGAUCGAAAGUUGUGGGAAAGAAGAUGAUUAGAUACCGUCGUAUUCGCAACUAUAAACUUUGUCGAUUUAGGAUUGCAAAUCGUUACAUUGAUGACAUUUGCAGAACUAUGUGAGAAAUCAAAAUAUUUAGACUCCAGGGGGAAUAUGGUCGCAAGUCUGAAACUUAAAAGAAUUGACGGAAGGGCACCACCAGGCGUGGAACCUGCGGCUUAAUUUGACCCAACGCGAGAAAACUUACCAGGUCAGGACACAAAAAGGAUUGACAGAUUGAUAGCUCUUUCAUGAUAUUGUGAAAAGUGGUGCAUGGCCGUUGCUAGUUGGUGGUUUGAAUUGUCAGGUUAAUUCCGUUAACGAACGAGACCUUAACCUACUAAAUAGUUGAACUAUUUUUAUUGCAGUUACAGGGUGAAAGCCUUGUACUUUGUAGAAAUACAGAGUUUGUAAUAUAUCUAAAUAGGUUACAACUUCUUUAUGGGACAAUCUGCGUUUAUAGCAAAU
RNAcentral lists this ribosomal RNA (1213 nucleotides) under metagenome. RNAcentral's name for it is "bacterial SSU rRNA". It matches the Rfam family "Eukaryotic small subunit ribosomal RNA", at positions 305 to 1438 of the family's 1831-position model. The record is from RNAcentral.